CCCUGCCUGCUGUAUGCGUGAUAGAACUAUAUGUGCCGAGCCAACAGUUUCUAUAUGGGAGUCAUCAUUCGUCAGCUUAUGUGAUAGGCGCAGGCCAAGACAGCGGUUGGCAAGCGAUUCCCAGCCUGUACCCAUGCAGGUUCGAGACACUAUGGCUACACGGUACGGUGGGCGCGCC
This 178-nucleotide non-coding RNA is filed under the name Chloroflexota bacterium. RNAcentral's name for it is "Chloroflexi bacterium 6S RNA". It matches the Rfam family "6S / SsrS RNA". From Rfam's summary of the family: E. coli 6S RNA was the first non coding RNA to be sequenced, but its function was unknown until recently. It consists of 184 nucleotides that fold into an extended hairpin structure with a large single-stranded internal bulge. The 6S RNA specifically associates with RNA polymerase holoenzyme containing the sigma70 specificity factor. The record is from RNAcentral. Lineage: Bacteria; Bacillati; Chloroflexota.